GGCGUCCGAGUUGUAAUUUGUAGAGGAUGCUAUUGGGUUGCCACCGGUCUAAGUUCCUUGGAACAGGACGUCACAGAGGGUGAGAAUCCCGUAUGUGACCGGCCAGGCGCCUUCUGUAUAGCUCCUUCGACGAGUCGGGUUGUUUGGGAAUGCAGCCCUAAAUGGGAGGUAAAUUUCUUCUAAAGCUAAAUACCGGCCAGAGACCGAUAGCGCACAAGUAGAGUGAUCGAAAGAUGAAAAGCACUUUGGAAAGAGAGUUAAAAAGCACGUGAAAUUGUUGAAAGGGAAGCGCUUGCAAUCAGUCUCGACGGCGGCUGUUCGGCCUCUCUUCUGAGUGGUUUAUUCAGUCGCCGCCGGGCCAGCAUCAGUUUCGGCGGCCGGAUAAAGGCGCGGGGAAUGUAGCUCCCUCGGGAGUGUUAUAGCCCCGCGUGCAAUACGGCCCGCCGGGACUGAGGUCCGCGCUUCGGCUAGGAUGCUGGCGAAAUGGUUGUAAGCGGCCCGUCUUGAAACACGGACCAAGGAGUCUAACAUCUACGCGAGUGUUUGGGUGUCAAACCCGUGCGCGCAAUGAAAGUGAACGGAGGUGGGAACCGCAAGGUGCACCAUCGACCGAUCCUGAUGUCUUCGGAUGGAUUUGAGUAAGAGCGUAGCUGUUGGGACCCGAAAGAUGGUGAACUAUGCCUGAAUAGGGUGAAGCCAGAGGAAACUCUGGUGGAGGCUCGCAGCGGUUCUGACG
RNAcentral lists this ribosomal RNA (736 nucleotides) under Elsinoe tectificae. RNAcentral's name for it is "eukaryotic LSU rRNA". It matches the Rfam family "Eukaryotic large subunit ribosomal RNA", at positions 133 to 891 of the family's 3401-position model. The record is from RNAcentral. Lineage: Eukaryota; Fungi; Ascomycota; Dothideomycetes; Myriangiales; Elsinoaceae.